Molecule: long non-coding RNA, 1633 nt
Organism: Misgurnus anguillicaudatus (oriental weatherfish)
Lineage: Eukaryota; Metazoa; Chordata; Actinopteri; Cypriniformes; Cobitidae
Source: RefSeq, a predicted model, not a curated record
GCGCCGCAUGAAGUCGAACGCACUUAGUGAUGUGGUUGCCAGGGACGAUGCAGACAUUUUAGGCAGCUAACUAACUACUACAAGUAUUUGUAACCAAGUCAAAAAAACAAAAAAGGAGGUUUUUAACCAAUGUUCAAACCAAACCUCUGACAUUGCGCCCUUGUAAAACUGCAAGAGAUAACCUGCUGCGCAGCCGCGACCCCAUGUCAAAUGUGUUUUUGAUAAAUGCCUUCCGUCUGUCUCAGCCCAACAUUGUCGAUUAGCAUCAGACUCAUCAGUUAGAGGAUGAUCUGGCCUCCUUGUUGCCCGGCCGUGUCUUUGCAUUGCCAAGCAAUUUUGCCUUGCCAAGAUUGGAUGAAGCAAACAACCUCUUUCCAAGUUAAGCUGAUUCGAUGCCAUGGCAACAAGGGAAGCUCCCAGCCCCUGUGCAAUAACGCCGGUCUGAUCAAGCCCACAUUCCUGUAUUGACCACGCUGCGCAAGAUUAAACGCAGGUGACAUUUCCGAGGUGAAAUUUGCAAUUUCCACAAAUAUGAGUUGUCUGAAACGCGGCAUGACAGCACAUAAAAUCAAUACAAAUAACCUGAAUCCCUAAUACCUUGAUCCCUGUUAGUAGAGGGAUGCAUUACAACUAAGACACUGGAAGUGAGAGCAACAGCCCAGGAGCUGAUCCCUGAUUCCUAUCGACUGGCUCCAGGCCAAACACUCCCGCAAUAACAAUUAGGUGUGAGAGUUUGUCGAUUUUCUACGGCAGCGUCGCAUUUUUCAUCACAGAGUUCUGAUGUCUCUAUACUACAUCUGAUGAAUGAAGACUCUGUUAAUGUUAUAUGGGUGAUUCUCACGAAAACUUGGUUUUAAAAAUGUCAAGCAUGAAAAUGUAAAAAUUGCUUAAAUUUACUUUUUUUCCCACCAGACAUUGAAAAACAAAGUCUGGAGUAAAUGGGAACAUUCAUUUUAAAACUUUUACUUAUCAUUUAACACUUUUUGUAACAUAAUUUAAAAAAUUAGUCCUAAAAAAUCUCAUUACCGCAACAGUCAGAAAACAUCAACACUGACAUAUUUUCAAAAUGACAUGACAAACCUGAAAGAACAUAUUUUGGAGAUUCUGCACAUGCAUUUAAAAUCAAACUAUUAUGCUUCUAUUAAUUAAAUUAACAUUUAAUAAGCAUCUGUUGCGGUAAUGAUAAUCAAAAUGUCGUGUAAGCAUUCUGACAAGACAAUAUUUCAAAUUAACUGUAAAAAAAUGAUCUUACCUGGUAGCCAUCUUGAAGUAACUGGUCCAUGUGCUUGGUCACUCAAAAUCAAACUUUAUUAAAAUUCUGUAUGUGUGCUUAAACUGUUCUCAAAAAGUGUUGCGGAGGAUGAGAACAUCAGGCAUGGACACAUCAUUUUCCUAAUUUUUCUUCAUUAUUAUUAUACAUGAAUAUUCAGUAAAUAUUUUUUCUGUCAUCUAAAGUAGUCUAGCAAAACAUCCAUUUAUUUUUUUUUAAAUAUUUUUGUGUUAAUUUGAUUAAAUUACAACAUAACGCAUGUUCAAACACAGCCGGACACAUUGCGGUAAUGAGAAUUUCAGCAGAAAAUGAGAUAAAAUUUCCAAUUAUAAAUUCUUAUGUUGAAAUCACACAUUGUGCAAG